RNAcentral lists this long non-coding RNA (644 nucleotides) under Daphnia pulicaria. RNAcentral describes it as "uncharacterized LOC124341454, transcript variant X2". Lineage: Eukaryota; Metazoa; Arthropoda; Branchiopoda; Diplostraca; Daphniidae. The record is from RNAcentral.
UGAUUGAAAACUUUGAAAGAGGUUGGCACAGCAGAAGCAGACUGGCAGGGUUGUUUACAAUGGCGACGCAAUUAGUUGAGGGAGGAGACUUUGACUUGCUGUCUACUAUAUAUGACAUAAUAAAAAGUGUCGAAAAAGAACAACAAGAUAACGCCCAAAAGCAGAAAGAUAGCCAAGAAGCUGGUCAAAAAGUUCUGGAAUUACAAAGAAAGUUGGAUCACGCAAGAGAAGUGGUUAAAAAGCUUCCCGGAAUUGAACUCAGUAAAGACGAACAACUGCUACAAAUUGAUUUACUUAGAAGACAACUCACACUGAAAAGAGAUCUUCUGAACAAAUACAGAUUGAUUACUUCUUUUGAUCGUGAAGCUCAGUCAGAGUUUCAAAUUCACCAACAUUAAUUAUGGUUUUCCGUUACUUUUUCAAUUACUUUGCCAACAACCCACAAGGUAAGUCUUUGGGAGAAGGUGUUAUUCAAGAAAAACUAAAGGACGGAGCAGGGAGAGUUAGUUCAUUUCAUGGAAGAUUCAAAGAGGAACUCAAGCAAGGAAUGAAAGAAAUUAAAGAUGCUAAAAAAAGGUGACCAAGAUCUUCCAAGAAUUAUGUAUUUCUUUUACUUGUAUUGUCAAUAAAGUAGUGCUGCUGCA